This 885-nucleotide ribosomal RNA is filed under the name Triticum aestivum (bread wheat). RNAcentral's name for it is "partial small subunit ribosomal RNA". The record is from RNAcentral. Lineage: Eukaryota; Viridiplantae; Streptophyta; Magnoliopsida; Poales; Poaceae.
AUGUGCAUAAACUGUGAGGACCACUGCUGGGGCUUCCUAAGCUCACUUCUAUCUGAUUGGUCGAAGUUUGGGAAUAGCAUCACAGAACUGAAGGAAUAUCGGGAUCAGGGUGGCUUUAGACUGCAAUUUUCUUUCAAUGUUAUGCCCAUCUUACAAGGGCACUGGUGCUUUGGAAAUGUUAAUAGCCUGUUGAUUCCUCCUGGUUCGAAUGGGAAGUAUUAUCUCUAUGCUCAUUGCUGGGUGCUCCAAGUUUGCCAAGAUAGUUCACAUGGACUGAUCAAGAAGUCCAGUGCAUGGUAUUCGUUUAUCACAAGGUUCAGCGUCUGGGUGCCGGGCGUGCCAAUGAUAGCAUGGUCAGUAUGCAUGGCGUUAAUUCGGACUAACUUUGGGAGAUGGUGGACUACUUGUUUGCAGUGUUUGGAGCAACACCAAUGGUUAUCAAUGUUGUCGGCAUGUACAUCUCGGAUCUGGUUGGUAGCAUGGCCCAUGGACGGGGUGGAGCUCUGGAUUCACUGUGGGCACGCAAUUUUUCAAGGAGGGAGGAUCUUCAUGGUCGUCGCCACCUUUGUCGACCAUAACUACUACCUCGACGUCAUCCUCAACUUGGUUCCCAUCGGCCAUGAUGACUACUUCGGCAACCUGGGCAAGCAAGCUUGCUACUUUGAUCGAGUCUACACCCAUCUUGGCUACUAUCAUGAAGAUUACCAUGGCGAUCCUAGCAAGAUCAAGGAACUUCAAGCGCCGUGGGAUCCUGGCAAGUCAACCUUCCAGUCUUCUUCUGAGCUUCGGCUUGGGGUCAAGCCAAGUUUCAAGGAGGGAGGGGUGUUAGCAACCCUCCACGGGUGGGCCGUGGGCCGGCAUGAGAGGGUCGGGCCUAGCAUCUAG